This 353-nucleotide ribosomal RNA is filed under the name Eucoccidiorida sp. RNAcentral's name for it is "SSU rRNA". It matches the Rfam family "Eukaryotic small subunit ribosomal RNA", at positions 444 to 787 of the family's 1831-position model. The record is from RNAcentral. Lineage: Eukaryota; Apicomplexa; Conoidasida; Eucoccidiorida.
CCCAAUUCUAACAGCAUAAGAGAGGUAGUGACAAGAAAUAACAAUACAAGGCAAUUAAAAUGCUUUGUAAUUGGAAUGAUAGAAAUUUAAACACUUUUUAAAGUAUCAAUUGGAGGGCAAGUCUGGUGCCAGCAGCCGCGCUAAUUCCAGCUCCAAUAGCGUAUAUUAAAAUUGUUGCAGUUAAAAAGCUCGUAGUUGAAUUUCUGCUAAGAAUAACCGGUCUGCUUUUAAUAAAAGUGGUAUCUUGGUGUGUUUUUAGCAAUAAUGUCCUUUGAAAUGCUUUUUUACUUUAUUGUAAAAAGCAAUAUUCAGGAUUUUUACUUUGAGAAAAUUAGAGUGUUUCAAGCAGGCUU